RNAcentral lists this long non-coding RNA (600 nucleotides) under Elaeis guineensis (African oil palm). RNAcentral's name for it is "long non-coding RNA (EGUI_LNC033371)". Lineage: Eukaryota; Viridiplantae; Streptophyta; Magnoliopsida; Arecales; Arecaceae. The record is from RNAcentral.
UAACUAAUCCACUUAAAAAUAUUUCAUCUGAAAUCAACCUUAUCCAUGCCAUUUGUCCACACAAAUAAAAAGGCCAUGCCCUAUUUAUUUUAGACGUUAAGAAGGAGGAGUCCUUAAAUACUCUUUUUAAUUUCCUUCUUAUCUAUUCCACGCAUUCCUUUAUUUUUUGCACCAUCAGAUGGUGCCUUGAGAUAUUUGGGCACAGAAGAGAAGGAAGCAUCUUUCUUUAUAAAGGAACUAAUAUGCCAAAAAUAAAUUGGGACACCACAUAUUUUGUUUGAUGAGAUUGGAAGAGGCCAUCUCAUUUAAAACUCUUAAUUACCUUCCUAUCUCCUUAUUUUUCCAUGCUAAUUCCUAAGGGUGGUGGCAUCAGAUGGCACCUUGGGUGGUGCAUGCAGAGGAGAGUCCUUCUACUGAUUAAAACUCCAACAAACUCUCCUUAAUUGGAAUUAAUCACCAGUGAACAUAAUGAGAUGCCAAUUGUUGGUGUCCCUUAAAGGCACCCUUUCUUUCUUAUUUAAAGGGGGCAUCUCCCAUGUGAUAAGAAUGGAAUUUCUCUGAUGGUUAGAUGUGGAAAUGAAGAGAGAAAAGAUAAAAAAA